Long non-coding RNA from Hemiscyllium ocellatum (epaulette shark), 2831 nucleotides. RefSeq lists it as uncharacterized. NCBI's taxonomy places the organism in Eukaryota, Metazoa, Chordata, Chondrichthyes, Orectolobiformes, Hemiscylliidae. The record is from RefSeq and is a predicted model, not a curated record. The transcript is spliced from 3 exons.
GUGAGUGAGUGACGGUCUCACCAGUUUCACACUGUCCAAAAAAACCCACUCAGGGUCUUCUGAGCAACUGCCCCCCCCUCCCCCUCGCCGACCCCUCACUAAAUCCACGAGUAUAACAUGAUGCUGAAAAAAAGGACUUUUUUUGUUCUUUGAAAGUGUUACAGCUUAGGUGUUUCUUUUAAAAAAAAGUAUUUUAAACUUUGUCCAAAAAGUCAUUUUUUGGGGGGAGACGCGAGGAGAGGGGAAACCCUACAUUAAAUACAAUACCAUACUUCAACAGACCCAGGGUCCCCUCUUCAAAUUGCAAGGGUUAAUUUCCCUUUUUUUUCUGACUAUCUAAUUGCCUCGCCCGUAAACAAUCCUCUCCGGAACAUUGAAACAUCCAAUUGUGGCUUCUUUUGACUUAGAAACAGAAAAAUCUGAAUAAGACACCAUUUGUUUUAAAAACAAAAAUUACAGAAUCAAAAUCUGAUUCUUGCCAACGACACAGUUCCGACGGACACCCCUCACAGGGAUCGGAAAAUGAUUCCAGAUUCACGCUGGGCACCCACAGUUCUUCUAACAUCUAGGCGGAAAGAGAAACGAGAACCUUGGAAUAUGACUGAGCUGUUGAAUGUUUAAUAGAUUCUGCCAUCGUGUCUCUCCAAAGUGAUGGUGAUACUUAAUGGCAUCUUCAACUCCUGCAGGUCAAGGUCCUACAUCUGGAGGGGGCACAAAGAAAGCAAGUUGCACGCAGCUGUCAGUAGCAAUUUUCUUGUUAGUGUUUAGCUGUUCUGACACUGGUUGAUGCAAAUAUUUCUCCGUUGUCCGUAACAGUGAGAGAAGGAAGCUCGGCAGAAGUUGCACUGAAAUUGGAAUGCUGUUUUGAAGUAUCAAGUUCUGCAAAGAGCUCAGUGAAUUUCUACAGUAAAGUAGCAGCUGAAAGUCAGUCACAAUAGUAUGAUAUUUAUGGAAGAACAUCAAAGGCAUUUAUAAUGUAAUUAUUGCAGGUUUACGGUGAGAUAAUCUACAACUGAUUACAUAAGAUCCUGACAUUCAUUAUAUGUACUGUAACAUGGUCAUUUGUCACAUACAUAUAUUACAAUAGAAACAUUAAAUGAGCCCAAUAGAAAUCAUGAUUUAUAUUAUACAUUCUGUUAUCCUUUUUAGAGGCAGAGGAUUAUAAAACCUACCAUCUACUGUUGAAUGGCAAUGGCAAAAACAAUGGAUAAAAUAUUUUAAUUGGUCAAGACUGUUUCAGAAGUCUAACGUAGUCAAAAUAAAAAGAAAACACACUGGACGAUUAAUAUGUGGAGUAAUGUAGCACAGGAAUGAGUCCAACACAGUAAGACCUGGGCAGUAUUCAGGCUUGGGCUGAUAAGUGAUCAGUAACAGUGCACCACACAAUUGUUUGGUCAAUGACCAUCUCCAACAUGAGAGAAUCUAAUCAUCUCCCCUUCACAGUCAAUGGCAUUAUCACUGCUGCAUAACCCAUUAAUGACAUCCUAUGGAUCAAACAGCAACUUAACCGAACCUGCUCGUUAAAUGCUAUGAUUACAAGAAGGGGGGAGAUAAUGCAUUCUGCUAAAGUCACUGCUCUCAUUUCAAUCUCACCAAGGGAGCUGAUGGAAUUCAAAUUCAGUUAAUAAAUCUGGAAGUGAUGGUGAAAUUGUAGCAAAAAUCCAUCUGAUUCACUGGUAACCUUUAGGGAAAGGAAAUCUACAAUUCUUACCUGGCCUGGUCAGGCCUCCAUGUGACUCCAUACCUACAACAAGUGGUUGACUAACUGCGCUCUGAACUGUCCAGAAAGCCACUCAGAUCAAAGGUAAUUAGGACUGGGCAACAAGUGCUGGACUUGCCAGUGAUGUCCAUGUCCAAUGAAAGAAUAAAAGAAAACAAAAAGGUGUAGGUUAGAGGCACAAGGGGUCAGGAGUCAACCUCUCCACUUGCUUGGAUGGGGAAAAUCCUAUAACACUCAAAAUGGUCAGCACCAUCCUGGAUAAAGCAGCCGAUUUACCACCUUAAACUGCCUCCACCACUCUAAGAUGCACUGCAGCAAGUCACCAUGCAUCCUUACACUGUACAUUGGAAACUGAUUACCACUACAAUCUAGAAGAACAAGGAUAGCAAGGUUCCAUCCAGGCCACCCAUCAUCCUGACUUGGAAAUAUAUCAUUGUUCCUUCAUUGUUGCUAGGUCAAAAUCCUGGACCUGCCUCUGUAACAGCAUUGUGGGUCAACCUACAACACAUGGACUGCAUUAGUUCUAGGUAGCAGCUCACCACAACUUUCUCAAAGGCAGCUAGGGGGCAGGCAACAAAUGCUGACCCUGCUAGGGGCUAGAAGCUGGAUUUAAGAUGAAAUUGAAUAUUGCUGUUGAGAGUGGUCUUCACCUGAGAUGGGGAUGAUGGGGAAAUUGAAUUGAAGACUAGCAUUUUGAAUUUGUGGUGAAGUUAAAGAUAAUAGUUACUAUCUUUCCAGUAUUGGUCAAAACUUCAGGUCAAACAGACCCUGGGCAAGUUGCACACCAUUACAAGUACAGUUGAUGGAUUCAGGGAGGUGAAAGUGAGGAGCAGAUGGUGCUGUUCAAUGCAUCUCGUAUGUUCAGGGAGAAUCAUCAACUCAGGGGCCUAUCAGUUCCAGUAUUCCACUACCAGUAUCAGGAUUCUAGUUAUACUACCACCACCUUGGGCCUGCAAGGGAACAAGCAAACCAAAUGCAACAUUGAAUGUGAAAUUGCUGCUAUACCACUAUGUCAUUGGACUCCAUUGCACAAUAUCCAGCCCAGAAACCUAUAACAUUCUAACAGGACUAGACAGGAUGUAGGUUUGCUCGCUGAGCUGGAAGGUUCAUU